GAUAAGUUAAAGAUAAAUAGCAAUAAAAAAACAGCAGAGCAGAGUCUCAAACUGGGUCAAAAGCUCGGUCUUCGGAAGCUUAAACUUUACAGACAGGUUAUAAAUUAGUCUGCAAAUAGAACAAGGUGUAAGAAUGAGGUCAAGACGAAGAGUUUCUCCUUAUCCACCUUAUUUAUUGUUCAAAGCAAGGACAUUAUUGUAAAAAGGAGACAGAAAGGUCACGAACACUAAGCAACAUACCCAUAAAAAGAAGAACAAAGUACUGUAAAUGAAAAAAAUCAGAAAAGUAAGAUAAAACUGUUAUGAGUUGAGAAGAUGCUUUAAUGCAGGAAAAUCCACCAUGAACCUUAAACAAACACUUGUGGGAUGAAAUAAGGUUUAAUGGUGUUGAAAGAUGUUAUAGGACAAAGGAUGACACACUUAACAAAAAUGGAAAGUACCUUUGUAAGGAAAAUUUUAAAAUAUAGAUGUGAUAAUAUAAGAAAAAGCCAAACUAUCUUUAACAUGAAAUACUCCAUUAAAAGGCUAUGUAAUUUAGGGGGGUGUUUUGAUCUAAUAGAAGUAGAUUUAUUGGUGUCAAAGUAAGCUUAGAAUGAUAAUUUAGAUCACAUUUCAGCAAACUUGAAAGAAAACAGUUUAUAAUUUAUACAGAUGAAGUUUUCUGAUAAAGAUAACAAAAAAGUUAUAUGAAUGGCAUUUUAAAAAAAUAUGUUAAAAGAAAGUACAAGAAAACAGUUUAAAAAUAAACAAAUGUGUCUUAAAUUCUGGUUUGGGUAUUUGAGGACAGAAAUCUUCAAAUUUAGCCUGAUCAAAAUGAAAGAAAAGGUUAAACACAGAGCUACCUUGUUUCUACAGUAACGACAAUGUUCUCCUGUCAUGCUCAAUUGGUUAACACCCACAGUUCCAGUGGGAUCACGAUGGCAGUAUUACAAGGUCAGCUCGGAGAUUUCGCCUGGCUCAGCAAAGACCUGCAGGACUGAGGGCAAUGCUGCUCAGCUGACAGGGCUCUUUGCUUGUUCACAGAGCUCUUUCUCGAAGGGGCCCCAGUGCCAGAACCAUUCACAAGCCGGGAGCAUAAAUGACAGAGUUGAGCAGCACAUUAAACACUGCAUUCUCCAAGAAAUAUUAAAUAAAAUAAGAGCAUCGACUCUGCAGCACAGCCAAAAUGCCAGGAACAAAAGGCAAAGGUAACAAAUCGGACAAGAAGUCAAGCACCAAGCAACCUCAGAGUCCUAAAGAACAGCCGAAGAAAGGUGAUCAGAAAGGAGACGAUAACACGAAGCAAGGAG
Molecule: long non-coding RNA, 1289 nt
Filed under: Oryzias sinensis (Chinese medaka)
Lineage: Eukaryota; Metazoa; Chordata; Actinopteri; Beloniformes; Adrianichthyidae
Description: lncRNA (ENSOSIG00000014819.1)
Source: RNAcentral